UCAACUUGGUCAUCUUGUGUUUAAAGUCACCAUCAGCAGGUAUUAUGUAAAGUGGAAGGUUCAGUUGGAAACUAAACCAUUUGAGGUCAAAAACUAGAUCACAGAAAAACCUUGGUUACACUCUAGUUAUAUUACCUUUAAAUGUGAAUCAUGGUCAGGCAAUCUAGCACUAUUGUGACCCACUUAGUUUUUGUAAGCAAUUUUGGUGUAAGUUUAGGUUUAAAUAACUUUAAACUUGAUGUUGCAUUUAGUUAUGGUUAGGGUAAGGACUUUUUUUUUUACUUUUUUAAGACGGUAGGAGUGAGCUUUUUUCCUUCUGUUUUAUUUUUCUGCCAAUCUUCCAGACUGCUGAGGAGGAGAUGCUGUUUCAAAAGAUUGGCAGGGUUAUUUUGUUACAGCUGACAAGGCCUGACAGAUCCCUUUACUAUUGAUCGAAACAUGCUAUCGACUGCCAUCGAGGAUAAUCCGGUGCCUAUAUAUCCGCAAGAUGCAGUGUAGGAGUAACUGGUUCUACAAUUCUGUACCGGCAGGUUUAGAUGAAGGUUAUUCAUGUGUUUUGAGAGGUGGGAAUCAGGGAUUGUGAGGAUUUUAAUUUCUUUCAGGUACAUAGCCUGCCAAUGACAACUGACUCUAUGUCCCGUCCAUACAUACAGUCGGCAGGACUUUCUUUCAGCGUCAAGACCUGCCUAGGACAACCUUUAUGAGGUGGGCAGGAUUUCUUCUUUUCCAGGUCCAAGGUCUGCCUAAGACAGCUAAACAUACAGAGGUGGCAGAAUAUUUCUUUUAGGUUUCAAGGCCUUGCAGAUCCCUUAACUGUUGAUCAAGACUGCUAUCGUGACUAUCGAGGACCCGGUGCCUAUAUGUCCGCAAGAUAAUCAGCGUGUGGGGGUGACUGAUCUGCAAUUCUGUGCCGGUGGGUUGCUAGAUGAUAGUUGUUCCUUUGUUGAGUGAGACGGAAAUCAGGGAUUGCAAGGAUUUCUUAUUUAUUUCAGGUUCAUACCCUGCCUCUGUCUUCUAAUGCAUGUUUUACUCGGACGGAACAUACAUUGGGCAGGUUUUGUAUUUCUUUCAGGUUCAAGGCCUGCCAGGACUGGGCAGGAUUUUCUCUCUUUCAGAUUUCUAUGAAUGUCUGCCUUCCUCUACCAGGACAGGCCAGUCUGUCAGAAUUGUUUUCAUGUAGCUCACUUCUGCAAUAUUGAAUUCUUUCCUUAUUUAAGCAAACUUUCUUAACAUAAAAUAAUUUUUGCAUUUUUUUUUUCCUGUUUUGGCUUAUUUAAUUUCAGGCUUGAGGGCAGAGACUUUCAUUAUUUCUGUGCAUGGAAACUGAAAUGAUGACGGUCCUUGUAUAGAGAUCCAGACACUUCGUUCCCAAGGUGAUGUGAAAUGGUGCGAAGUGUUGUGUAUGUCUUCUGCCUUCACUCUACUAGACCACUACUGCAUGGAUCUUCAGUAUCUUCAGUUAGAACUGUGAUGACACUGAGGAAAUAUUCUACAAUCUUCACCAUGGUUAUGGUUGAAUUGUAAUUACAACAUAGCAAUUGCUGUGCUGUGUGAAGUCAGCAUGUAUGUGUUUCUAAGAAAGUGACAAGGUGUGUCACGGUGGAAGCUGUGCAUCUGGAUAGGAUGAGAGUGGUUGUAUUCCAAUGGCUGUAAGCAUGAAAUCACCUGGCCUUGUGUGGAAGACCAACCAGAUGUAUACCUCUAAUUUAAACUCCUGAAAAUCCCCAUGGUUGUGGGUUGUGCAGACAGAAUGUGAGCAAGGAAGUACCUCUGUAAAAGCCCAGGCGUUCCAUAUGUAGGAGUACCUUCAUUCUUCAAAUCUGUACAAGAGAUCUAUGUGAGGAUGAAAGCCAAGAUAAUACAACGAUUCAACUUAUAUCAAUCCAACUGAAGGACAAAUAUCCAUUGAUGCAGGUGAGUUAAGAAGAAAAUUACCUGUUUUAGCUCACUGACAAAAUUGUCCCAGGAGCUAAAGCUAUUCAUGUGGAGUCAGCUUCAUGUUUAGACUGUGAACAACUCAUUGCAAGCUCAUGUCUCAUUUAUUACUCUUCACAAAGGAAUGAAAGCUGAAAGUCCUCCACCUCUGAUAUAUGUGGGGAAGUUGGCAGUUACUUGCAGAGAAAAGGUUUAUACUGGUACAGAAUCUAGGAACGCUGGUUAAAUUAACUGCCAACCAUUAUAUAACUGAAAUACUGUAACAGUUAAAAAAUGGCAUUAAACCCAAAAAAAACAAACAAAACACAAUCUUAAAUAAAAUAAAUAAAGUUUGCUAGUUUCUGCUAUGAAGCUAAAGGGUUUAAUGUAUGGAAAUGCUGGUAUACAUGUGUCUGUACCUCAAAAAAUCAGUCCACCCACUUCAAUAGCUCAGUAGGGAAAUUGCAGAUCUACAGAUUGCGGGGUUUGUCAGUU
This is a long non-coding RNA of Mercenaria mercenaria, 2409 nucleotides long. RefSeq lists it as uncharacterized. The transcript is spliced from 6 exons. Lineage: Eukaryota; Metazoa; Mollusca; Bivalvia; Venerida; Veneridae. The record is from RefSeq and is a predicted model, not a curated record.